GUGGAGCCGACCUGCCAUUGGGUAAACGCAAGGGAGGAGAAAAGGUGGGGCAGGGGUGAUUUGGGUGGAUGGAUAGGAGGGCUUCCGACCUGCGUUAGGCGGGUCAGUUAAUCUUCAGUAACUCCUUGAUGCGUUUGAUAGUCCUCCCAACUUAAGCCUUCCUUACUGCCUCCAGGAGAUACAGUCUUCUGUUCUUUUUGUCAUAGUUGUUUAUUUUUCAUGAAUCGCUGUUUUUGAGCAUAGGGCACUUACCUCUUUCUGUGUCCCCAGCCCUACCACAGUGCCAGGCUCUCAAUAUGCUCGAUAAAUAUUAGGCGAUUGAUUUGUAAAUCGUGUAUCAUUUUCAUGUAUCUAAUACUUUUUUAAAAAUUGAUUAAAGCCCAUAAGCCCAUAUUUUAUUCCAGAUGUCCUUAGUUUUCGACCUGGUAUUCUUUUCCAUUCCAGGAUCCUGUCCGGAGUACAUCACCAUGUCUUCCAGGCUCCUCUGGACCGUGACCGUUUCUCAAACUUUCCUUGUUUUUGAUAACCUUAAUAGUUUUGAAGCGACUUAUUGGUCAUUUGGUCAAAUGUCCUUCAAUUGGGUUUUGCCUGUAUUUUUCUCAUGCAUUAACUGAGGUUAUGGGUUUUUCUUGAGUUAAGAGGUAAGGUAAAGUGAUCUUCUCAUCACAUCACAUCAAGGGUAUAUACUAUCAACAUGACUUAUUACUGUUGAUGCUAACCUUUAUCACCAUUAUUACAGUGUCAUACAGAAAAGUUUUAUAGUUCUACAAAGAUCCCCUUUGUUUCAUCUAGUAAGCCCUUCCACCUCCCUAUGUAGGGUUUGUCAGGUUUCUCCACUGUGAAGUUACUGUUUUUCUUUUCCUCUCCAUACUAUACUAUUUGGAAGGACAUCUCUCUGUGCAGCCCAAACUAUAGGAAUGGGAAAUUGUUAUACUCCACCUUUAUGAGGACAGAAUAUCUUCAUGAAUUAUUUGGAAUUCUUCUGCAUGGGAGAUUUGUCUGUACUGCAUUUAUUUAUGUAUUCAAUCAUUUAUGUCAGUAUGGACUCAUGGAUAUUUAUUUUACAUUUUGGGUUAUAAUCCAAUACUACUUUAUUUUGUUGUUCAUAUUGGUUCCAGCUUUGGCUAUUGAGAUUUCCUUUAGUUGGCAUUUGUGUCUUUUUGACAAACCCUCCUCGUUUUAUGUUUAUUGAUUUUUUUUCUUGAGCAUUUUCUUAAUUUCUAUAAGUUGCUCCAGGCUCAUCUUGUAUAUUCCCUGCCCCAAUCCUAGAAUCAGCUGCUUCCCCAAAAAGCCAAGGGUACUUUUAAUGGAAAAUGAUAUUAGAAAUCAAGAUUUGGACAUUUGGGAUGUUGUUGCUUCUAGACACUCUCAGCUGACAGAGCAAGGAAAUAUUUGUGGAUAUGCUAACCUGACUAAAUACGCAUAUCUGCUCCAUACCUACCUAACAUCUAUCUUCUCAAGAACUCUGCCAGGGAAGGAGUAGUUUCUGUGUUUCAUAAACAGACUGAGACUCAAAGAGGCUAAGUAAACUACCUGAAGCCAUAUAUAGCAACACACAAUGACGGAUGUGAGAUUCAAACUUGGAUUUAUCUGGCUCCAAAAUUUCUAGUUUUUUUUUUUUUUUUUUUCCCACUACAGCAAAACUAAGGAGAAGAGACAGAGGUGAAUAGCUGUCUCUCAGUGGUUAUUCUGUUUUCCCUUAUCUACAUGUUUUCCUCCUUUCACUCUCUCUUGGUUUGUUCUUAUCCUUCAGAGGUAAAGAGGAGCCUUCAGAGAGCUAUAAAGGUUGAUCAAAGUACCAGAUUAUGAGAUUAUUUGGAGGCUAAUAUGUAAUCCUUGGGGUUUCCUUUCUCAUCUCACCCUUACAGCUGCCUGUAUUAAUGCUUUCUGAUUAACAUAUGGUCUCCUUUUUAUUCUAGAAAACACUAGAUCUGAAUAACAAAGGAUGCAUACUUAAGCAAACUAAGGCAUAUAUAGUUAUCACUAAAUGCUCAACCUGGAAAGAAUACUGGAUUGCAGUCUGCUUUUUCUGUAAAGACAAUAGUAUUAUAAAACCGAAAGAGACAACAGGGAAUAUUUCCCACUCAACUAAGCAUAUCUAAAAGCACAUUUGAAGUUUGGAGACAAUAUUCUGUGUUAUUUUAAGAAAAGAUUCUAUAGCAUUAUUACCUGGUGGUAAGAAAAUAACAUGUAAAAGAAAAGGUAAUAAGAAUAAAAAAAAUAAGUAAAAGUAUGUGAACAUGCUAGACCUGGUUAUACAACUCAACUGUUGAGAAUGCAUUUUUGAAGUUGCCUGCAUGGUUGCUGCAAGCGUUCUUCAGUAUUUAGUAUAUGAAGACAGGCAUAUGCUCUGGCCAUUUCCAGAAAAGCCAAGGCUAUCCUGUAUAUUCUAGCCAUCUGUUGUUAGGUGAAAUGCGUGAAUGGCAUAGAGAAAUGUUAUGGAGAGUGAAUGUUACAUGCCUCUGAGAUACAAUAGAAAAGAAGCCCUUGAUUUAAUAUUUUGGUUCUUAGUUUGACUGUGAUUUAUAGGGAGUGAUAUUGCCCUGGGCCUUUCUGUCUCCUUUGUAUCAGGAAAUGAUUUGGUUUAGAGAAAAGCAGGCAAAGGUUUUAGUGGGACUCCCACCAGGAUAAUGGCCUUCUUUGUUCCUAGCUACUUCUUGAGGUGACUAUGGCUAUCCUUUAGGCCCCAAGCAUGUGGACAGAGUCGAGAACAGGGUUAAGGAGAAGAUUUAAGCAAAAUCUCUUUAGUCACUGAGCAAGAAGCACCUAUAAGUUGCAUUUUGUAAACUCAGAGGAUUUGGUCUGUGGUGAUCUAGCUACAUAAGAACUGGAAAUGCCUAGGUUUAAAAUCGGGGUAUAAAGCAACCCAGAGCUUGUUAGAUAUGCAAGAUCUCUGGCCCUAUCCCCAAACUACUGUCCCAGAAUAUGUAUUUUAACAAGGUUGCUAGUGACUCAUAUGCUCAAUAAUGUUUGAAAAGCCCUGCCCCAGACUCUUGAAUAGGAUUGGCCAGGAGGUGGGAAAAGGGAUGGUAGCAGUGGUGCUUGCAAUGUACAUAGCCCCAGAUAUAUAGAAUCAGAAUCUGUAAGAGUGGAGACUUAGGAAUCUAUGUUUUAACAAGCUCCUCAGGGAAUUUUUAUAAACACUGCAAUUUGAAGAUCACAGGUAAGAAAUAAAAACAGUUCAGGGGAGAAGUGCAAUAUACACUAUGAACACCAGCUGUCAGUACUCUACAAUUUAAAAAUGACCUUGAUGGUUAAUAGUGAAAAGAAUUAUUACAAGAACAUUUUCUAAAUUUGAAAUGUAAAGAUCUAGGGAACAUGAGCUCUAAGUUAAACAGAUUUGAAUUAUCCUGUGAUUUUAUCAAAGAUCUCUAGACAUAUAAAUAGUUUACAGAGAGUAGUGGUUGGAGAUUUAGAGAUUUUGGGUACAUGUGAGUAAGUCCAUGUCAGAAUAAUGUCUUACUAUACUUGGGAAAAUAAAGUGAAUGCUUUUGUGGUUUUAAAACCAAACUGGACUCUACAGUUUGAAAGUAUGUAAGGCAGGUCAAUGACUCUUUCUAAGAAUAUCUUUUCAUUUUCUUGGCAUUAUGUCCUGAUGUUACUGGGUUUUUCAGGUACUUAAUUUUCAUGUGUAGCUCAGGGAUUAAAAGUCUUGUGCAGUAUUCAAAGGAACUUUUUCUGUAUUUGUAGACACUGCACCAUACUGGGAGACUUGGAUUCGAAUUCUGUCUUUUCCUUAUAGCCUCGUGCAGAUUACAAUGACAAUUCCUUAACAUCUCUGAGUCUUUUAGUGUGCAUAAAAAUACCCACAUAAGGGUUGUCAAGAGGAGGAUCCAGAUAAUAUAAUAAAUAUGAAAUGCUCUACCAAUUAUGAAGCAUUAAAUAAAUGCAAGGUAGUACUUGAAUGCUUAUGGCAUUGGGCUUUCACUUUUAUAUUUGAUCUUUGGAACCCCACUAUAGCACCCAUUUCCAUAAAAAUGACUCAGGUUUCACUAGGAGCCUAGUUACUUUUCCUAGUUAGGUAUUUUUUUUUUCCCCACCCCAAAUAGCGUUGCCUGAUAAAAUACUGGACAGCCAGGUAAGUUUGAUAUAAAGUUUGAUUUCAUGUAAACAAUGAUUUCUUUUUAAUUCUUCAGCUAAGACAGCGGAAGAGAUGAUUUAUUGUAUGGUUGUUACACUCGGCCACAAGUAAACACAUAAAUAGUCCAGAAUGUCACAGGUCUAGGGCAAAGGACCAAAAUGGGCAGUUUUGGUUAUGAGCAACAUGGGUCUUAGAGGUGAUUGGCGAUCAGAGGGCGAUGAAGUUCUAGAUCAUGAGAUAAGCUCUGGACAGUAGCAUGCAGUCCUACAACUUGUACCAGCAUCUCCAGCGUCUAGCAUUCCAUGUUUCUGCUCCUGUGGCCUCCAUGGUACAAGAAGCUAGUGGUUUACUUGGACAUCUGACUCAUCUUUCUUCUUUUGCGCUUCAACCUGUGCAUUCGCUUCUUCCUCCACUUGGCUCUUAUGGCACAGAGGUUUUCAAGAAAAUGGUGCUAAGGCCGAGAUGACAAUGAAUAAUUUUUUAGUAUGACUAUGUCCCAUGUAUUGCACAGCAAACUGGAAAAUCUAACUCCAAGACCAAAUGCUAUCUACAUUCAUGCAUCUUCUACUCACCAAUCUCAUCUAAUUGCUUACAUCUUCUAUUUUGCCUGUAUGGAAAAAGUCUGACUCAAAGACAGUAAUGUAGAUCUAAAAAUGGUCUUGAGAGAAAUUAUUGCUAUCUGAAAGCUCACGUCUUCAAAAAUUUUUACACUUCCUGUCUAGAAACGGCUCUGGCUUAUCUCUAAAGAGUGCUUAGAAUAAAAUAGAGUCACUUAAGUACUUACUCCUUGGGAUUAUUUUUGAUUUUUUUUUGUGCUGUUAUUCUGUUGACUUUUGAUUAUUCAUUAACAUCUCUUUCUCUGUCUCACUGUGUGGUUGUGGGAGUAGAAGGAGGGAAGAGGUGACUCUCCAAAAUGAAAUAAUUCGAAAGCCACUUACAUGUUGCUAUUAUGAACAAUUCUGAGGCAUUUCUGGUACAGCUUUCUCUUUCCAAUUAUAUUUGGUAUAGCAAAUAAUGCUAUUAAAAUAUAUAGACUUUAUAUAAAGAAAGACCACAUCCUGAUACUGAAGGAGAGGAAGAAGAAGGAAAGGUGGGAGUUCGCUGUGUGCUCAGCAGAAAGCAGGGUCGUCCUGGGGAACACUUUGCAGUUUCAAAGUACUUGAGGAGGGUAGGCCACAAAAUGGGAGUUUAACUGUACUAAAGUAAAUUCUUAAUGACACUUUCACGUGGAUGCCCUGAAGCAGAGGGAGGAAUCACACCAGGAAACCUGAUGCGGGAGAGAGCCAUGUCCCACAGUUUGACCGAAAAAAAUGUUGCCUUUGGGCUCACCUAACUCUGGACACUAGGUGUCAGUAUACAGCAAUGUAACGAUUUUAGGAUGCGGGGUUGAUGUGCUGAAUUAGUGGGGGAAGAGUUGUGAGAUGAUGUUUCGUUUCCUGCUGUUAACACAGGUCCUCGAUUUAUGGUAGAGGUUCUUUCAGCUGUGAUCUUAUGAAUCAUCAAUAGAGACAGGAACUGUGUCAGAGUCACCUCUAGGGGUUUCCUUCAUAUUUUCUUUUUCUUUUCUCACUGGCUAGGACUGAUUACUUCUUCACAUCUCUGCAAAGUACUUAAUUAGUCUCAUCAGGCAGCCAAACUUGAUACCUUCGUCCAAUUUUAGAUACAGAGAUGAUGAAGGUGUUUCAUUGGCAGUUGGGGCCAUUAGAGGGACCCCGCAGGGCAGAGCGACGUUGCACUGAGGCGAUCUGAGCUGAGCACAGGGGUAAGGAUAUAUUCCUGGACUGUGUGCUGCUGUCACCGAGAACAUUUGCAAAUCUGCUGACACAUUACAGUGGGAAUAUCCCCUGGACGCAUGGAAGGCCCAGUGCCCUGUCAUUUGAGCAGUGCAGGCACGUCACCAGCCCAUGGGGAUGUCAGUAUUCAUGCUGCUCUUUGAUAUAAAGUUCGCAUUUUCUAUAUGGUUUGAUGAUGUUUAGUGGGAUCAGUGAUGCCUGUUUGUUAAUUGCUUACAGAAGAUUUGGGCUUAAAAAUAAAAUCUUGGAUCAGGUAACAUUCUCUGUUUUAAAUUUUAUUGAUAUUUCUGAAUUCCAAGGAAAUUACUUACAUAUCAGAUGGUCUUUGAAACCUUAUUUUUUUCUAUUAUUUUUAGUAUUCUCUGCACUCUGUCUUAUAUUUCUGCCCUUUCUCCUGCAUAAGUAAAACAGAAAGAUUUAGUUAGCGUUUGAGGAUGAAAAUUAUCAAGCCUAUAUUCUCAACAACAAUCUGGGAUUUGAGUUAAUUUUAAUGUCCAAUUUGUGUCCCUCUUGCCCCCUUUACAUGUGUGACUUUAUUUUCAGCUAUCUUUUAAUAUUAUUCACUCUUAGUCACACCAACUAUGCUUAUCCCUACCUAAGUCCUUCUCAUCUUGUUAUCACCAGCUGGUAAAUUCUUCCUGCUUCCUUUACUUAUAUAAAUGUGGCUGCUUUUUCAAUAUCAGCUCCAAGCCAUCUCCUCCAUGAAGCUAUCUGGGUAAUUCACAGAAAUCUGCUUUCCUGAAUCAUAGAGCAUUGCUCAGUGUAGCUCAUGAUUAUAACCUAGUCUUAGUUGCUUUUUAAUUAGUUUGCACACGUGUACAUAUACACACACAUGCACACACACACACACAUGACCAACUAGAUUACAAGCUUUUCAAAAGUGGGGGCUGUACCCCAGUGACAUCUAGUAAUAUGCUGAGUAUCAUAUAUACAUUUUCAAUAGAUAGCCAUUUUUUGUUUAUCUCUUUGAUUGCGGAGGCUAAAACAUAAUAGGUAUUUAAUAAAUGUUGAGAGAUCUGAGGAAUUGAUUUAAAUUACUCUGCUGAAGUACUAGAUCUUUGAUAAUAUUAGAUUGUGACAUUUGGUGUGACAAUUCUGGUAGUCAUUAGCAUAUACCUUUGCAAGAGCUAGCUCAAGUCUUAUACCUUCCAUGACAACUUCUCUAGGCUAAUACAGUCCUCAUUGUUCCUCCUGGUCCUGAAUUUCUCCUUCUCCUGUUUCUGAACUCCUAAAGCAUCGUACAUCUACAUUGGGCAAGUGCCUUAGGACUACAUCUGUAGAAUGGGUUUAAUAAUAGUGCCCAUCUAUUUGGAACUAUGAUAAUUAAAUGACAAUAUGUAUAAAUUACUUAGAACAUUUCUGGCAUAUUAUAAGUAAUCAAUAGGUGUUUUAGUCAUGGUUCUCCAGAGAGGCAGAACUGAUAAGAUAUAUGAAUUAGCUCAGUUGAUUAUGGAGGCUGAGAAGUCCCAUGAUAGACGUCUGCAAGCUAGAGAACCAGGGCAACUGGUAGCAUGGCUCACUGCAAAGUGUGAAGGCUUCAGAACCAAGGAAGCCAAUAGCAUAACUCUCAGUCCAAGGCCAAAAACCUGGGAGCCUGGGGGUUGCUGGUGUGUUUCCCAGAGUCCAAAAGCUGAGAAGGGGAGUUGUAACAUUCAAGAGCAGCGGGAAGAAGUUAUCCUAGCUUUAGAAGACAGAGCAAGAUUUUGCCCUUUCUCCACCCUUUUAUUCCAUCUGGGCCCCCAGCCAAUUGAAAGGUAUCUGCCCACAUUGAGGGUGGAUCUUCCCCACUCAGUUCAAAGACUCAAAUUCUAAUCUCUUCGCAGAACAUUCUCAGAGACAUACCUAUGGUGGCCUAAUAAUUUUAAUCAAAUGCCAAAUCACCUGGAGUUUCCUUUCAGCGGAAGAGCGAAGGACUUUAAUUUAUCACAGUCUAGCUGGCGAGAUUGUGGAGAAAAGGGAAAACUUAUACACUGCUGGGGGGAAUGUAAAUUAGUUCAGCCAUUGUAGAAAGCAGUUUGGCAAUUUCUCAAAGAACUUAAAACAGAAUUAAGAUUUUGUCCAGCAAUUCCAUUAUUGGGUAUAUACUAAAAGGAAUAUAAGUCAUUCUACCAUAAAGACACAUGCACACAUAUGUUCAUCACAGCAGUAUUCACAAUAGCAAAGACAUGGAAUCAACCUAAAUGCCCGUCAAUGGUAGACUAGAUAAAGAAAAUGUGGUACAUAUACACCAUCGAAUACUAUGCAGCCAUAAAAAAGUACAAGAUCAUGUCCUUUGUAGCAGCAUGAAUGAAGCUGUAGGCUGUUGCCCGAACAGAAAACCAAAUACUGCAUGUUCUCACUUAUAAGUAGGAGUUAAACAUUGGGUAUGGACGCAGAUAAGGGAACAACAGACACCAGGGUCUAUUUGAGGGUGGAGGAUGGGAGGAGAGUGAAGAUCCAAAAACUGCCUAUCAGGUAUUAUGCUUAUUACCUGGAUGAUGAAAUAAUCUGUACACCAAACCCUGUGACAUGCAAUUUACCUGUGUAACAAACCUGCACGUGUACCCCAAAACUAAAAUUUUUUUAAAAAGUCACAUAUUGAGGUAAAAAAAAAUACAAAUAAUUUUCAUUAGAAAAAACUUAUCCCAAUCUACCUUAUACCUCUUCACAUGCAGUAUAAGAACCUCACAACAGGGUGCUUCCAUCUCUUUAUCCUGAUGGCUGCUGUUCUCAUGUAUUUUACUUCCAUGUUUGCUGUGAAUCCCAUACUACACUGCUCUCAUUUUUGCUUUAAACAGUCGAUUCUAUUUUGAUGAUAUUUUGUAAAAUGAGAAAAUUGUUUUUUUACAUUCCUCUACAAACUUACCAUUUCUGGCUUUCUUUAAUCCUUUGUGUAGAUUUAAUUUUCCACCUGGUGUUAUUUUAGCUCUGCCUAAAGAACUUCCUUUAGCGUUGUUGGAGUGGAAUUCUUUUGGUGAUGAAUUCUCUUCAUUUUGUUCUUCCAGAAAUGUACAUUCAUUCUUCACAUUGGAAAUAUAUUUUUCUUGAUAAAGAAAUGUAGGUAGACAAUAUUUCCCCCUCUCAAUACAUCUGGCUUGCAUAGUUUAUGAUGGAAGUCUGCUGUCAUUCUUCUCUUUAUUGCUUUGUUUGCAGUGUGUCACAAUGUGUCUUAUUUUUAUGGCUGAUCUUAAGAUUUUCUUUUUAUCAUUAGUUUUUGGCCAUUUAAUUAUAUAGUGCUUUGGAAUCUAAUACCAUUCUCAAGCUUUUACUUGAUACCUUAUAUAUUUCGUUUUUGGUUUUUAAAAUUUUGUUGUUGUUGUUGUUAUUGUUUCAUCUUGGCUGGUGGGAACAUGAACAAUUCCUAGCGCUCUGUGAGCUGCAAGAAUAUUUCUGAGUACUCCUUUCUUGUGUUUUUUUCCCAAGCAUGAGUCAUUUCCUCUCAUGCAUGCACAGAUCAGUACUUAGGCAAAGCCUCCUCCAGACCCCACUGCAGAUCUCCAGAGUUCCUUUUUUGUGCAGCUCCUUCAUCUGUGCUACCAUGCCCCACGAACUCCACCUUUUGUAAUAUCCCUGAAUUCUAAUCUCUCUUUCUUCAGCUUAAAAAGACUGCCUAACUCUGUGCUGUUGCCUGGAAACUGCCUACAGGAAGUAAGAUGGUGCAGGUUAACAUCUCAUCAUCUGGUUUCUUUCUCUCAGGGAUCACAGUCUUAUAAUGCCUCUUUUCAAAUGCCUCUAAACCAGUGUUUCCUAUGUUUUGUCUGAGUUUUUCUAGUUGCUUACAGCAUGUGAUGGGGUUCCUUUUGACUCUAUUUUGACUUGAAACGAUAGUGUCCAUGGAGAUGGAGCCAGUUUCUUACUUCCUGACAUCCUAUUCCUAAAGACUAAUAGAAUACUCCAGAGUUUGUGAUAAAAGAGAAUAUCCAUUAAAUUAAUGAUAAGAUCAGUGCAUAUAUGAAUACUCCAGUAAUUCCCAGGUAAUGAUAAAUAAAACAGUCACAAAGAGCUGCAGAAUUAGAAAGCUAUUUGAACUUUGAAUCAACUAUGUUGAAGCAACAUAAUGAAAUACAGAGUCUUCUAGAUACUCUGUAAAGUCAUAGAAUUUUAGAAAGUAUUGUUCUCAUUAUUUCUGAUGCAGUAAAGUUCAAAGAGGUAAUUACAUUGCUUUCUGGCAGACAGUUGACCAGAAAGGCCAAAGUAGAAAUCAUAAGCCAACUGCCUUAAUGGUUUGGGUAGUGGUAUAGGUAAAUGAAAAGGCAAUUUUAAUCUUCUGACUUCAAAUUAAGAGAUUAUAUAUUUAACUUCCUAAUAGAUAAAUACAUUAUUGCCUUUCAAUUCAUUUUUGUUUAAAAACAGCUUCUUUUAGAAUUCUGCUUUGGUAUAUUGCUUUAGUGUGGGCACAAAUUCCCAAAGAUUCCAUGAAGAAUUUAGUAUAUAAUCUCCCUUAGAAAAAGUACAGCAUUUUUAUGAGCAGAAUAAUAAUAUUCAGAAAUGAUAUAAAGGUACACACAGGAAUAUGUGUGUAGCUUCAAUAUCUAUAAGGGAUUAUAAUUUUAACAUUUUAUUGAUCUUUUAAGGUGUUUUGAGUUUUCAAAUAAAAUUGCUCUCUAUUAUUGUGCACUUAGAGAUACUUUUCUAGGCAAUAAUAUGUAAAUUAAUUGCCUUUUCAGGCUGCGCUAUGGUUUCCCAUUGUGGCAUGGAAUAAUAUAUUGGGGAGAUUUUUCUGUUUUAUGGCAGUUUUAACUAUCUUUUAAAAAUGGUUAAAAUUUCCAGUUGCAAUAACGUAGCGUUAAAUUAUUUAAAAACUGUUAUGAAGAAAUAUAUCUCAGGAUUAAUAGAAAAAAUUUCUUAUAUUGGCCAAUUUCAAAUUUAACCACAAUUCUUAAUACAUUUCUCUUUGACAUGAAUUUAUAAAUAGCAAUUAUAAUGAGUAUGGUUCUCUAAAUCAAAUAACCUGUUAAAACCAAAUGAUCCAAUUACAGGUUUAUAUUAAAAAUGAAUGAAUAAGGAAAGCUUUUUAGCUCCUUAAGAUGCUAUCAUUCCUUUUAUAGAAUGUCAAGAUUUACAGAAUAUCAGGAAAGUAAUCAAUCUUCCUUUGAUUAGGCUUGUAUCUUCUCUUUCUUUCAAAUUUCUGCAGACUUUUCAUUUGCUGGGGGGAAAAAUGGAAAGCUAUGGGACAGUGAAAGAUAACAGUUAAGAAUUUCCAAAGGAUUCAAGGAUGUAGAAACAGAAAUGACUCAAAUGGUCAUCACACUUCAAAUUCCAUCAUAAAGGCUGAAACGCUGUAGUCCUAUCCUGAACUGGUCCUAAUGAUUUAGUGCUCGAUUCUAGGCUUGCACAUAGGUAAACAUGACGACAUUAUAGUAUGUCAAAUAAUGCUCAUGAAUGAAAAGAACAGUGAGAUUUUCAAUGUUUUUUAUACUGACUUGUUUCCCUCUAUUUACUUUACUUGACCGCCCCCAAGAAUAGUCAGAUGACAUAAUUUGAGUCAAUAGAUACGUAACGGAGACAAACCAGAUGGCCAAUUCCUGUGGAUUUAUGGGACAAUUCUGCAUAUUUUAAGCAAAUAAUUUGUUCUUUUCAAUUAUAUUCAAAGCUUACAUUCUGUUAUACUGUAUAUUUUAUUAGAGAAUAGUUUUUCUGUGAAGAUAAUACCAUUAGCUGAGUUGCAAAAAAAAUUCUAAAUUUUAAUAUAUACUUUCAAACUAUUUUUUUCAUUCCAAAACUACUUCUGAGGAAACUCUUACAUAAAAUUAAGGUUAAAUAUUUUUAUAUUUCCUGACUUUCAAUUUAUUACCUAUCUUCAAAUCAACAAUUAACUAAUUGAUUUACCAUAUGUUAUAGACAAUAGAAGUAAAGGGAAAGUGUGAGCAUUUACAAAGUCAAUUGAAAGAGACAUUUAGCUGGAAAAUAUUUUGAGCAUUGUGUUUUAACUUACUGCUCUGGAGGAUGAGGAUUUAACUCUUUUCAGCUUCUUUCUUCUAUCAUGUUUAGUCCACUUCAGAACCCACCCACCUCCCAAGAUAGCUAUAUGACAAUUUGAUUAGACCAGUAAUCAGGGUUUAUGUUUCUAUGACUAUGUAAUUGCUCAUGAAUGAGCUAGGUAGCAUACCAUGAUCUUUUUUUCUCUUGACAAUAUUUUGUUCUCCUUAAAGUUAAGGAGGGCCUGGUUUUACUGUCAUUUCUUCCUUUAGUUUUCUAUAAUCAUAUCAUUUUCUUCGACCAAACUCUCUCAAUUGUGGAAACAUCUUCUCAAAACUUUUGGACACAUUAGGUAUUUUGUCACCUUCACUGUCUUGAAGAAAUCUCUCCUGAGACUUUUGACCUGCUCCAAACUUAGAUUAAUUGUUUUCUAGGUCUGCUGUGCAGUUGUGGGAUCUUUAUUCAUGAGUCUUCUCUUUCCUAUAUCAUAUUCUUGUUUCCCAAAUUUCAUAUCUUCCUUCUUCUUACUCUUGUGUUGGAGAAGCACACUCUCCACUAGCUUCUUGAGAAGACUUGCAUAAGAAGUAAAAUUUUUGACAUUUAUGUACUUCUGAAAAUGUCCGUAUUCUACCUUCACAUAUGAUUUUAAUUUUUACUGCAUAUAGAAUUCUAGGUUGCAAAUAAUUUUCCAUAAAAAUUUUGAAAGCAUAUUUCUAUUGUUCUCUGAUUUCAGAUUGGAAUUAGAGAAAUCUCUGCCAUUGUGAUUCUUGAAACUUUGUUUGAAAUUCCUUCCCUUUAAACUUGUUUCUGGACUCUUAAAUUUUAUUAUUUUAAUUAUUAUUAAUAAUUUUUUUAGAGAUGAGUUCUUCCUUUGUUGCCCCAAACUGGUCUCAAACUGCUGGGCUCAAGCAGUCUUCCCAUCUUGGCCUCCCAAAGUGCUGGGAUUACAGGUGUGAGCCACCAUGCCUGGCCUGUCUGGACUCUUACUGGAUUGUCUAGUUCCUACUCACCCUCCCCCUGACCAAGUGUUUUACAAUUUCAUAGUGAUGGCAUUUGGUGUGGGCCUAAUUUCCUUCAUUAUGCUUAGUACUCACUGGAUCCUUUCAAUAUGGAAACUCAUGUCCUUCAACUCUAUAAUAUUUUCAUGGAUUCUUUCUUUGAUGAUUUUCUUCUCUCCAUUUGUAUUUGUCUCUGAACUCCUAUUAUUCAGAUAGGAGUUGUAUUGUUCUUCUAAUGUUUUUCUUUCCUGUUUUCCAUAUUUUGACUUUUUGUCUUAUUUUUGGAAUAUGUGCUCAAUUUUUUAUUCCAGCCCUUCUAUUAAGGUUUUGUUUUGUUUUGUUUAGGUAUGAAACGAAUAUCUAUUUAGGCUAAGAAAUUCCCACAAAUUACAAAUUUUAAAAAGGUGACAAAUAUUAUAAACAUUAUUUUUUGCUAUGCUUUUUGAUAAUUGUUGGUAAUUUGAAAUAACAAAGUAGAUUUAUAAUGAUCAUAAAGGCAAGUUAAGUAUAUUAUUCUGCUAUUGGCAUUACUUGUCAAAUCCAGCAGUCAAUUUAUUAUCUCCUCUUACUCGGUUGUUCUGCAGCAUUUGACAGCGGUGACCACUGCAUACCUCUUUUGACACACUUUCUUCUUCAGCCUCAAUGACACCACAGUCUUCUGGUUGUUUCUUCUGCUUUACUGGUUGGUCAUGCUCAGUGUCUUUUGCUGGCUUCUCUUCCUCUGCUGAACUUCUGGAUAACGGGGAAUUUAAUAAUGUGCCAAGAAUUUAAUCCUAGACCUCCUUCUCUUUUCUUAUUAACCCUGUAGGUGAUUUUAUUUUUUUUAAUAGAAACUUUAUUGAGCUAUAAUUCACAUACCAUGAAAUUCACCAUUUUAAGUUGUAUAAUUCAAUGUUUGUUGUACAAUCAUCAUUACUAUCUACUUCUAUUUAUUUUUCUUCAAAAAUAUAUUUUUAUUUUUAAAUUUUUUUUACUUGAAAAAUCAUAAUUAUAUACAUUUGUGGGCUAUGAUGUAAUGUUUUGAUAUAUGUAUUCAAUGUGAAAUGACUAAACCAAGUUAAUUGACCUAGCCAUCACCUUACUUAUCUAUUGUUUUUUACAGUGAGAUAUUUGAAAUUUACUCUGUCAUUUUGAAAUAUGCAAUACAUUUUUAUUAACUGUAGUCACCUGCUGUGCAAUAGAUCUCAACACUUAUUUCUCCUGUCUGUCUGAAACUUUGUACCCUUUGACCAGCAACUCCACAUUCCCUUCCUUCUCUCAAUCUCCCAAUCUGUGGUAACCAUCAUUCUACUCUCUACUUCUAAGAGUUCCACUUUUUUAGGUUCCACAUAUCCACAUGUCUUUCUGUAUCUGACUUAUUUCACUUAGCAUAAUGUCCUCCAGGUUCAUCUCUGUUGUCACAAGUGAUAGCAUUUCCUUUUUAAAAAAAGGCUGAAUGGUAUUUCAUUGUGUAUGCAUACCACAUUUUGUUUACCUAUUCAUUCAUAAUGGAUACUUGAUUUCAUCUCUUGUCUAUUGUGAGUAAUGCUGGAAUGAAUGUGGGAGUGCAGAGAUCCCUUCAACAUGUUGAUUUCAAUUCCUUUGACUAUAUACCCAGGAAGUGAGGUUGCUGGAGUAUAUGGUAGUUCUAGUUUUAGUUUUUUUGAGGAACAUCCAUACUGUUUUUUUAAUAAUGCCUCUACUAAUUUACAUUCUCAACAGCAAUGUAUAAGAGUUCUCUUUUUGCACAUCCUUGCCAACACUUAUCUUUCAUCUUUUGGAUAAAAGCUAUUCUAACAGGUAUGAGGUAAUAUCUCAUUGCAGUCUUAAUUUGCAUUUUUCUAAUGAUUAGUGAUACUAAGCAUUUUUUCAUGUAUUUACUGUCCAGUUGCAUGACUUCUUUUGAAAAAUAUCUGUUCAGACCAUUUGCCCAUAUUAAAAUCAGGUUAUUUGUUUUAUUGCUGUAUUAGGUCAAUCUUGCAUUGAUAUAAAGAAAUACCUGAGACUGGGUAAUUUAUAAAGAAAAGAAGUUUAAUUGGCUUAUGGUUCUGCAGGCUGUAUAGGAAGUGUGGUGCUGGCCCCUGCUUAGCUUCUGGGGAGGCCUCAAGGAGCUUUUACUCAUGGUAGAAGGCAAAGUGGAAGCAGGCACGUCACAUAGCAAAAGCAGGAGCAAGAGGGGUGGGGUGAGGUGUCACACACUUUUAAAUGAACAGAUCUCAUGGGAACUCACUCACUAUUGUGAGGAUAGCACCAAGCCUUUGGGGAUCCACUCCCAUGAUCCAAUCACCACCCACCAGGCCCCACCUCCAUCAUGGGGAUUAUAUUUCAACAUGAGACUUGGGUAAUGGUAUGGUUUGGCUGUGUCCCCCUCCAAAUUUCAACUUGAAUUGUAUCUCUCAGAAUUCCCAAGUACUGUGGGACGGAUCCAGGAGGAGGUAAUUGAAUCAUGGGGGCCAGUCUUUCCCAUGCUAUUCUUGUUAUAGUUAAUAAGUCUCAUGAGAUCUGAUUGGUUUAUCAGGAGUUUCAGCUUUUGCUCCUUCUCAUUUUCUCUUGCCACUGCUAUAUAAGAAGUGCUUUUCACCUCCUGCUAUAAUUCUGCGGCCUCCCUAGACAUGUGGAACUGUAGGUUCAAUUAAACCUCUUUUUCUUCCUAGUCUCAGGUGUGUCUUUAUUAGCAGCAUGAAAACAGGCUAAUACAGGUGGGGACAAAUACUCAAACUAUAUCGUCCUGCUUCUGGUCCUAAAUCUCAUGUCCUUCUGGUCCUAAAUCUCAUGUCCUUCUCUAAUUGCAAAAUACAAUUAUACCUUCCCAAUAGUUCUCCAGAGUCUUAACUAAUUCCAGCAUCAACUCAAAAGUCCCAAGUCCAGGUUCAAAGUCUCAUCUGAGACUCAUUUGCUUCCACCUAUGAGCCUGAGAAAUCAGAACAAGUUAUUUGCUUCCAAGAUACAAUGGGGGUACAGGCAUUGGGUUAUCAUUCCUGCUCCAAAAGGGAGAAAUCAGCCAAAAGAGAGGGGCUACAGGCCUCAAGCAACUCUGAAACCCAGGAGCACACCCGUUAAAUUGUAAAGCUCCAAAAUAAUCUCUUUUGACACCAUGUCCCAUGUCCCAUGUCCAGGGCACACUAACACAAGGGGUGGGAGCUACAAAAGUGGAGCUCAUGGAGAUAGAGAGUAGAAUGAUGGUUAUCAGAAUCUGGGAUGAGAAGAGGAGGAGGAUGAAGGGAAGUUUGUUAAUGGCUACAAAAAUACAGUUGGGCAGAAGGAAUGAGUUAUAAAAAUCAAUAGAGUAGUAGGGAAAUUAUAGCUAUUAAUAAUUUAUUGUAUAUUUCGAAAAAGCUAGAAGAGAAGAAUUAAAAUGUUCCAAACACAAAGAAAAGAUAAAUAUUUGAGGUAAUGGAUGUCCCAAUUACCCUGAUUUGAUCAUUACACAUUGUAUACAUCUAUCAAAAUACCAUAUGUACCCUCAAAAUGUGUACAAGUAUGAUAUAUCAAUUUUUAAAAAAGAAACCAUUAUCUACGGUCAUAAAGAUUUGCUGCUAUGUUUUCUUCUGAGGGUUUUAUAGUUUUUGCUCUUACAUUUCAGUGUCUGAUCCAUUUUGAGUUAAUUUUUGUGUAUGGUGUGAGAUAGGGAUCAAACUUUAUUCUUUUGCAUGAGGAUAUCCAGUUAGCACCAUUUAUAGAAAAGAAUGCUUUUUCCACAUGGAAUUGACUUAAUAUAUGAAAUUUUGAUUAUGUAAUCACUUUUAAGUUUCAAAAAUUCUGUUUUCCUUUCAGAAUAUUCCUAUUUGGUAGUAUCCUGUUUUUGUUUUUCUCUUAUUUUCUCUGAGGGUAUUCUCUGAGGGUAUUUUAAUAUGACUCUCUGCAGAAAAUUUUUUUCCCUUUUAAAAAUCUCCCUCCUCUACUCUCUUUUUGGUCACAUCUCCCAUGGUACCAUAUUUCUUCAGCUAUCUGGUAAUCCUUGGUUGCUGGUUCUUGAUUAAUAUUGGUGUCCUAUUUGGGGGGCUUGUGAGUAUUGAGCUCAAUUGUAGGGUGAUUUGAGUGGGCUUUUUUUUGGUGAAAUGCUGAUGCCAGUAUAUGUAAGUCUUUUUUCUUGGGUUGGUCAAGUUCUGCAGUGAAUAUUCCUCCAUUCUCUUUCCAGGAGGGUAAAGGUCUGGCUGCCAGUAUUCUGGAAGCUUUGUGGGGGAAGAAGUUAGGGGCCUCAUUAUUCCAUCUCUAGUAUGAUUGUUGUUACUUAAGUCUCCUGUAUCAGGUCUGGUACCACACAUUCAACUAUGCCCAGUCAGUCCCCAGUCCAAGGACUUUAUCUGUUACCCUCUUCCAGAGAAUAAAUUCCCAGUUUCCUUUCUGAGAGGUGAUGGGUCAAUUUCCCAGCAACAGGAAUGGGGAGGAGAUCUAGGGUUCUAACUAUUUAUAAGCAACUUAUAUAAAAAUAUUUUUACAAGUGUAAAACUAUGCACAGUUUCACACAUAUAGUAACCUUGCAUAUAUACUUCUGCUCUUGGUGCAAUGUAACCUUGCACAUAUAGUUUUGCACUUCUACAAAUAACAUUGCAAUAUUAUUUAUAAUUCAAGUACAUUGGACAGUAUCUAGAUUACUAGCAAUAAGACAUAUACACACUCCAUACAAUAAGAUAUAGUAUAAAGAUUAGGUAGAAUGUAUGUUAAUAUGGAAAAAUGUUCAUAAAAUAUUGCUAAUAUAAAACAAUUGGAAUAACAUGCUCCAAUUUAUGUAAAAAUAUAAAUAUGUACAAAUAUUCAUAUUAUUUGCAUGCAUAGAGAUGAGUCUGGAAUAAUAUAUACCAAUAUGUUAAUGAUAGUUGACUGUAUGCCAGAAUUAGAGGUGAGUAUGGUUUUUUCCCCUUUAUUUUUAGCUGUAUUUCAUGCUAUUUUACAAGACAGAUCAGUUACUGACAAAGAAAUGAUACUUUUAUAAAGUGCAAUUCUCAGUUCACAGGUGUGAGCUCCUUUCUUAAGCAGGAACUAUCAUUUUUGAACUCGUGUAUUGUAAGUAAACAGCACAGAGCCUGUACCUAAGUACUCAGAAAACGUAUGUAUAAGGAAUUCAUUCCAUUUGCUUUCUUCCAUGUUAAUGAUUUCUCCUACAUUCAGUGAAAUCUACUUUACCUUGAUGUUCCUGUUUUCUUUUGUCUUCAUCAGUGUGAAUGCUAAGGGAAUGUGUGAAUGUAAUUUGUUAAAGUGGUCUGAUGAAACUUCUGACAAAAUUGAUAUAAGAUUGUUUUCAAAAGAUUUAACAAUAUCUUAAACUUAUAAAUAACACUGUUGAAAUGACUUUUGACUUAAAAUUGAAAAGCUAUCAACUCUGAGUUACUGUUUAGGGGGCCAUCUGAAGAAGUUGCUGCAUCCUAGCCCACAAAAGAAGAAAUGAUAAAAUCAUUUUACAUUGUCCAUUGGCAGACAUACAGAGUGGAGGCAGGAAGACAGGAUUGCUUGCUGAUUUUGAAAAGUGUUCUGAACAUUUGAUUUGGGGUUCUGUCUCAUAGGAAUCACUGGAGGAAACGGUGGGAGUUGUGUUUGAUAAAUCACUUAAAAAAUAAAUUCUGUUGUGUAUAUUUAAGGUAUACAACAUGAUUUUAUAAGAUACAUGGAUAGUAAAAAAAUGUAUAGCGUGUUCACAGAUUUGCAUGUCAUUCUUGCACAUGGACAUGCUGAUCUUCUCUGUAUUGUUCCAAUUUUAGAAUAUGUGUUGCCAAAGCAAGCACUAAAUCAUUUUUACUUAUUUAUUCUCCUACUAACUAGUAGGAAAGAAGACUUGAUAGGGAGAACCAAGGAAGAGGAGGAGAAGAACUCUGCUCACAUCCUUCAUUGGCUCAGCACUCGAGCUGCUCUUUAAUAGGCCUCAGGCUGCCCUUGAAACCCUAGGAUGAGAAGUACUUUGCUUUGCCAGAUUAUCCUGUGUAUCAGUCAGGGUCCAGCCAGAAAAAUAAGGCACUCUAGGUCUUUCAGCAAAUGAAAUUUAGUCCAGGAAAUAGAUUUCACAGAUGAUGGAGAGGGAGUUUAGGGACCAGAGAGAGGGCUUUUGGAUGGGAACCAGAACUGUGGAAGUAAAGAUAACCUGGAAGGAGGUGCAGCUUCUGGAGACAUCAAAGGAGAGAGAGAGAGAAGGGAGAAAAUUCAUUUGUCAUGCCCUUCCUUGUGCCCUUCAUCUUCUAGCUGUGCCUCCAAUAUGCUGAAGCCAGAGGGCGAAAGAGCCUGGAAGAGUCGUUCCCUGAGAUGGAGAGCAGAGCAGGGCAAGGCAGGGAAGAGCACAGACUGGCAGGGACAGGCGCAUUGAGUACAUUUUAUAAAGUUGAGAUUGUAUGAAUUAACUUACUGCCCCUGCACCUCUGACAUGUUUUUACAUGCCCACAUGCACUGAGGCAUUUUCAGUGUGCAUGUGUACCUGUGUUUGUGUAUGCGUAUCUCUGAGAUCUUGGUUGGGCUAAUGUCCUACUUAUGAGAAAAGUGCAAGUGCUCAUUCUAAGAUUGUAUGCAAAAUGACAGCGAACACUCCUGUUUUCAAGUGGCACUUAGCAUUUACAUAAUGCUGAAACAUCUGGUCUUUCCCAUCAACCCAGGCAUGAAGUUAGUCCAGUUGAUUGCUUGGCAUUAUGUACAGACAACAGCUGGCUGGUUAACUGGAGUUUUGAUUACGGCUGAAUUGGCUGGAUGUUUGGUGUCACAUAGACUGAAGUUAUGACUGGGUAACGAUGGAGUAGAGCCAGUUACAGGGAAGAUCAAUGACAAAUUUGUGAAAUCAAACUUUUGUAUGGAAUUUCACUGGAAAAGAUAAUUAUUUAUUUCCAAGACUGAGUUUCAGAAACUCACUGGAAUUUCACUGGAAAAGAUAAUUAUUUGUUUCCAAGACAGUUUCAGAAACACUGAGACCUGGCUGAGUUUAUCUCUGGUGACUUUUCAUUCCCAUUUCACCUCCUUUCACCCAAGUGUCCCCUGCCCUUGUACCCAUAUCCUCAGGUGCCCUUGGCCAUUCACCCUUAAGGCACCUGGCUCCUGGGCUUAUCACCCUGGGAACGACCUCCAGAUUCUGAAUUUUUUAACCUUUAUGUCUCUUUCCCCUUUGUCCCUUUCAUCAAAUCACAUUUGUCCUGUCAUUCAGAGAUCUGCUAUCUGUUGCAGGAUCAACUGAUCUCAGAAUCUAAUUUUCAUGAAGAUGUUUGUAGAUGAUACUGUGCUAAUAUUUAUCUUUUCAUCUUUCCAUAUGUGGAAGUGGUCUCAACUGAGACUGAAAUUCAGGCAUACUUGGCACAUUUUUAUCUUGUGCUUGCCAGAAGCAUGUUUGCACAAACACUGAGGAAUGUCCUGGGAGAAGAAGGAGCCAGGUUGGAUAAGCUCUCAGCAUAGGGCCUUGCCUGUCAGGGGGUGCUGAGCCAGCAUGUGCCAUGGUUUCAGGCACCUAGAGCUGUCUCCCUGCCCUAAUGGAACAUAUCUGAGUUUUGCGGAGAGCAGAGGAACUCUAAAAUUUUAAGGGAGGUUAGGGGUGAGAAGAGAGAGAGAUAGAGAACUGUGUAAAGUACUGGGACCUAAGUGACCAUGCUUGAGAAUCUCUCCAAAGCAAAAUGGAAGUAAGAUUUCUUUCUUGUGACAAAUCUUUCUUGCAUAGAUUUGAUUUCUGGAGAGCCCUAUGAGGAACUGGGGUACUUGCAGGAAUGAUGGCUAAGCCAAGCUGAGGUCAUCACAGGAGCCAGCAGGAAUGGGAUUAUUUAGCAGCCUGUUUCAGACUCAGAAAUAUUGGAAAAAAGUUUUUGAAGGGAUCAGGGUGAGUAGUGGGGUGGGAAAGGCUGAAGGCCUGAAGGCCUGUCAAACACAAAUGGUUAUACCGACUAUAAACAUUUAAAUUAUUCCAUUAAAUAAAACUUCAUUUUAACCCACAUUUUUAAGGUCUAAGGAAAUUCAGAUGGUACCUGUAACAUAUUUGCCUUUUACCAGAACCUUUGAAUGUUUUGCAUCCAAUGCAUGAUUGAUGGUGGCAAUUUCAGAUCAUCCAAUGGUAAAUUGGCGAAGGAAAAAUACUUUUAGGCAAUCAUUUAAGUAUUCUUCAAAUAAUACUUCAUAAAUUUGCUUCUUAGCCCCCUGGUUUUAUUUGUUAGCUUAAGACAUGAGGACUUGAAAUGUCACUAUAUGAUUAUUGACAGAGACUUGGCUGCUACUGGGGAGAGGAGUGUGAAAUCCAAACAUAUUUUUAAAAUCUGAGUAGAUCUUUAUUAGCUUAUAACUAGCAAUAUUACAAUGGAAGUUAUUUUAGUUUAUACAGAUAAUUAAGGUAAAACUUCAGUUUUAAUGAUAGGUUUGCUGAUUGGUUUUACUAUAUUAAUUCAUUUAACAGACAUUUGCUUGGUGCCUAUUAUGUAUUAAACACUUUGCUGGGCUCAGGGUAAACUUUGGUGAAUUCAGCAGAUUUAAAAUCUAAUAUAGCUAAAUCAGGCUUAACUUCCUUUGUUUUCUAGCUGAGAUACCAACUGAAAAGAUUAAUGUAUCAAAACAACAAAUUUUCCCUAAGAAAGAUUAUGCUUUAUAUCAUCAGAAAGUAUGUUCCCUGUCCCAAAAUCUGGACAUAUGAAUAUACAUCAAUGUGUGUGUGUGUGUGUGUGUGUGUGUGUGUGUGCGUGUGCGUGCGCGUAUAGUAUAACUUGUGUUCAUAUCACCAGAACCUUAUAUGGCUAAAGAAAAAUUACAGAAAUUUAAACAUCAAACAUAUAAGUUUCAUCUGUAGAAAAAAAAUCCAGAUUUUAUUUAAACCACCAAAAUUGCAGUCAGCUGCUGAGAGAAAAAUAAAGGCAAAGAUCCUGUUUACAAGGCACCUAGAGUUCAGCCAUCAGAUGGUUUUGGUUAAGAUGUAGUUUCUCUUCAUGCUGAUGUUUCUAUAAGACAUUUUUGUGAGUCAGUCAUCACCCAACUUCCUAGUGUCUUUCUUUCCCUUGUAUGUGUGUGUGUGUGUUUUUUUUUACAAUACCUUUAUAGCGUUGCUUUUAAUUUUUGACAACGUUUACUGAAAACUUACUCCUUUGCAGCUUUUAUGUGAUUUGUAGAAUUGCAUUCUGUAGUAGGCAAAAUUCUGAUGUGUGUGUGUGUGUGUGUGUGUGUGUGUGUGUGUGUGUGUGGUGGGGGUAGCGGGGGUUCCUGUUGUUUCUUUGUGGCUCUUUCUGUCCAUUUUUAACUUCUGCUGGCAAGAUGCUGGUAUUAAAUCUUUACCCCACUAAGUUAUUAAGUAUUUAAGCUUAUAAUAGACUUGUCCUCUUUACCUUGUCUAUGCGUUCCUGGAAAGAGAGUACAUUAGAAGGUUUACUGGUUGUGACUACCCCACCAUGCCUAGAAUAACUAGGUGAUAAGCCAUCUCAUGCCAAGCUAAUAUUCUGCCCUAUGGGAAGUUUGCUAUAGGUAGUAGGGUGUGCCCCACUACACCAAAGGUGAGGGAGUUAAGCUGUCUGUUUGCAAGAGGGUCAUAGCUUUCCCAUAUACGUGUGCCAGGAUUUGCUGACAGGGAAUCUGUCUUGAUGAGCUGCACUGCAUUCUCAAUGCCUCCAGUGCUAAAGCAUUCAAUGAAAAUAUUUUUGAUUGACUUCUCCCACUGUGGCAGUUUUUGAUUCUGCAGUGGGUUUGGAUUUAAAACUAUUGUGCUUAUUGUCUGAUAAUGGGAACCCCCUAGCUGCUCAUUGCCUUAAAAGGAACCCAGUAGACACACCUGUGAAUUAUGUUUCGCACAUUUUCUACCAACUGGUAAAGCCACUUAAAAUACUUAGAUUCAUUUGUUUUAGAUGUAGGAAAAAAAUCUCUCUGUGUGACUACAAUUGCAUGUCUACUAUAUGUGUAUUUGUUUUUAACCAUUCUUUCUGAAAUGGAAACUGAUCAUUCUGGGUCAUCGCUGAAGAAGUACUUACCCCCUUUUCAGCUGGAAAAAAUAUGUACCUGAAUUAUGGGAGAAUACAAGGAACCUUCAGUUCACCAUUUGUCUUGGCUCCUUUCCUUUGGUAGAGAGGUAGGGGAGAAAGGAAGAAAAAACACACACACACACCAAAACCUCAUGGACUAUUCCCUUAACUUCUUUCCCUGGAGUCAUUGACUACUAACUGAAAUAAACCUAUCUAUUCAUUAAAGAAAAUUAUAUUUGCCUAUUUAAAAAGGCCUAUUUUUCUGUAUCUCUUAUUUUUCUUUAAUUCUGAAGAGUAUUGAAUGGAAAAUAUGCAUUUUCUUUUUUUUUUACAUAGUUUGUGAACAAUUUAAAGAAAACUGUGUAAAACGUCAUUAUGCUUUAGCUUGUGACUUUGUACAGAUCUGAGUGUUGUGUGUUCUUCAUGAUGUAUUGUGUAAAUGAUUAGCUACAAUCACAACCUACUCUUUUGGCUCUGACAGCAGAUAUUUUUGUUAGAUUUGAAUUAGGCAACAAAUAGAAUGCUAACUCUUAACAAGUAUUUUUGCUAUAAGUGCUUUUUUUUUUUUUUUUUGAGACGAAGUCUUGUUCUUGUCACCCAGGCUGGAGUACAAUGGCACAAUCUCGGCUCACUGCAACCUCCACCUCCCAGGUUCAAGUGAUUCUUCUGCCUCAGCCUCCCGAGUAACUGGGAUUACAGGCACCUGCCACCAUGCCCAGCUAAUUUUUGUAUUUUUAGUAGAGACGCCAUUUCACCAUGUUGGCCAGGCUGGUCUCAAACUCCUGACCUCCAGGUGAUCCGCCCGCCUCGGCCUCCCAAAGUUCUGGGAUUACAGGCGUGAGCCACCAUGCUUGGCCGCUAUAAGUGUUUUCUAAUAUUUGUAAUAAGACAUUUUAUUUAUAUAACACUUUAUAAAACUUCAUUGUCUUCUUUGAAUCUCAGCUCCCUAAAACAGGUGCCAUUGUCUCCAAAUUGGGAGCCAGAAAGUAUUCAUGACUUGUUUGAGGUCACAAGUUAGGUUAGUGACAGAGCCAGAACCCAAAUUGAAAUUCUUUCUACAAAGGCUGGACACCUUGACCAAGUAUAUCAGUUUAGCUAGAGCUUUGGCAUAGCUAGAGCUUGUCUGUUGUUCAAAAUGCAGUUUUUCUCUCUUCUCUGCUUCUAUAUGAAGACAACAGUCUUAUCUAUCUUGUUCACAAUUUCAGCCCUAGCAGCUUGCACAGAACUUUGAAUGGAAUAGUUAAUACAUAUAUGUGAAUACAUAUAUGUGAAUGAAUGAAGUACAGAAGAUGCUGAGGGUUUGCUUUGAAUAACAAUGCAGUAUGCCUCCCAUCCCCUUUCUGCAUGCUUCUCUUAUUAUGCUAGAAACAAUAUUUGAAGUUUGAAAUAAUGGAGUUAGACACUGCCUUAUUAUUUAAGGAUUUGAUAUGGUAGUCAGGCAAAAAUAAUUUCAUUUAAAUUCCCUAUUUCUUGACUUACUCUGCUAUCUUAGAAAAUUAAAUUAAUCUCUCUGCUGGGUCUUGAGAUCCAUCUAGAACUUGGCUAUAACCUGAGAAUGUUUUGUGUUCUGGUUUUUUCUUCACUGUUGGAGUCUGCUUGAGAAGGCUGGAAAUGUAUUUUCAUUCCAUUUUUCAGUAUAACACAUUGUGAGUCCUCACUGAAUUAGAUUCUUCCCCCUGAAAAAGCUACCCCUGGAAAGAUGUUUGGCACUUUUGGAUAUUGCUCUUUUGUGUUUUUUUUUUGGACCCCCAGGGAACCAUUUAGUGAAAAUGAACCAUUAUACUUGAAUUCCCGUUCAGCCACUAGAAGAACCAUUGCCCAUGACUUCCCAUUCACAAAAGCCAUGCUCCAGCAUAAGUUUCUGUCUGAAGCACUUUCUAGUUCCAAUCCCAUGUCUUUGGAAUAUUUCAGGCAUGCAGGAGAUCUUUUCUGGAGGUUUUACUGGAAUGAUUAGUUUGUGCUUGAAACAGGAGAAGCAGCUAAGGAUGAGGCCUACUGGGACUCUAGAUGCCAUGGAGACAAGCAGAUAUUAGUUAUGAUUUCCAUCAUUUUUUUCACUACCUCUCUGAAAGUAGUAGAUAUUGUGAUAAGACCUCUCAAGGAAGGGAGGACAAUUAUCCUCUUUCUCCCCUACCUCACCUUUCCACCCUAUAAAAGUGUGGCAGACUCAAACCAAACUUGUUGGCUGGAAGCCUAAAGGGAUUCCUCCUCAUGUGGCAGGCUGUCGUAGCAUUUUUAUGAUAGCUAGUGUUUCUUUUGGUCUGAAACUCUGGUAUGUGAAAUAUAGGUCAGGGGUUGGAAAUUAAUGCCUGCUUUUCAUGUGAGAAGGAAUAAUUGGCAUGAAAUGUAGUAAAGAAUGCCUGCAAGCCUGGCGGUGUUGGGUCAUUUUUUUUUUUUUUUUUUUGUUAUUGGUUUUGGCUGCUAUUCCCAGAAAAAUAAUGGGCAGGUUCACAUUUCUUAGAACAUAUCUUUAUCAACUCUGACAACUUACUGUGUCUUGGACCCCCAAGAGACAGUCAGCCUGGAAGUCUUUGCUUGUGCCAUUUCUGUGCUGGAUCCUUGGCUGUACACACCAUGACAAAUUAAUACAGAUGGAAUAAUGAAUUUCUCUUAUCCCUGAGACCAGACCUGCUGGGGAAAACAUCUAUAUCCUUUGAGAGAUUUGAAAUUAGUAUAACAAGUUCUAUACAGAGAUGAUCAUGUUGAAUAAAGGUUUUAUUUUACUCUUACAUGUACAGUCAUCACUGGAGUAUGCACAUAUUACAGGGAAGCUUAGUCUACAAAUGGGUUGGGUUCUAACCAUUAAUUUUGGAAUGUUGCAGACAUUUUCCUUUAUGAAGAAUGUUAUAGGUCUAUCUGACUUAAAAAUCAAUAGGGGAGUAAAAGUACAGUGCAUUUUCAAUGAAAAACAAUAGAAAACACAUAGUUUUAAUACUAUUAAUUAGGCAAAACAGAGGAACAACACAAUCGAAGAAGAAAUAGUUUUUGCUUUUCUCAAAUGUGGGUGCUUGCAGUUUGAUUAGGGGCAGAUGAAUCAAUGCCUUUUGGUGUUUUAAAGUGGUUUUGAAAACAUUCAAGGACUUGAAGGGUUGGAGGCCAAUCUUUUUCUAUUAAGUCUGUGACCAUUAUAGUUAAAAAAGCUCAUUAGAAAAAAGAAACCUGAAGCAACUUUUUUUUUUUCUCAUUGUCUCUUUAACACAUUGGGUUGAAUAGCUUUUUUCCCGAUUCUUGGAUGAAAUUUUGAGCAGAUCUCAGAGUUUUAAAAAUUGCUCUCUAUUUUCUGGCAAUUAGUAAUCUUCCAGUUACUUUAAAGCUUUAAGCAGUUCAGUUCAGCAUAAUAAUAGAAACCCAUUGUCCUCUUUAAAUUUUCUCCCAUUUCCCAGCCAGGGCCUGACCAAGAAUUGGAAGCCUGGUGUGUGUGUGGUGUUUGUGUGUAUGCAUGUGUGUGAAUGCAUGUGAAUGUGUGUAUAAAUGCAUGUGUAUGAGAGUGUAUGUAUGUGAAUGUAAAGUGUGUGUGUGUGUGUGUGUGUGUGUGUGUGUGUGUGUGUGUAUGAGACAUGGCAUCUCCUCUUCCAUCACUAACUAUGGCUUCUAGUGCCUUCAGCACUGGAGGGGGAUAAGGGAGAAGAGUUAAGGGGACAUCAAAGAGCUUACUGAUGUGAUUUGGAUUUGCCAUCAUGGAGGCUCAAACCUGACUUUAUCACAGGGGUGUUUUUGGAGUGAUUUUGCCUGUGGGAGCCUCAACUGCAACUAUAAUUACUGUAAGAUAGGUGAUACCUCAUACAGUUUGUUACUUUUGACACUGUCCUCGAUUCCUGGCAGUUUGCUAUGUCUUUCCAGGCAGUCCUUCCAAGAACUCUAGGUUUGUUCCUUCCUGUGUGGCACACAGUUGGUGUGCAGAAAGUUUGAUUCCUGCCUUGUUCUCUGCAUUGCUCCUUCAGGCCGGUCUAGCCACAAUGUCUUAUACCUGCACUAACAUUCUUUUAAAACUCUGGGAGAUAUUUAUCAAACUCUUCAAGUGUCUCCUCCCCUUGAAGUUCCUCUCACUUGGCUUAAAGCAAAGAAGUAGGUUUUCUCCCUUGGGAGAGCCAUGCUGCCAAUAACUCUCUCAACAGGAUUCUUCUCCAGUUCUUCAAACUGUAGAGGUUUUUUUUUUUUCUUUUCUUUUUUUUUUAAUUAGGGUUCAUUGAUGCUGAUAAAAACGGUUUUACAAUCAUCUUAGCAGUUCUGCACAGGGCUCUGUUCUUACCUCACUGUCAUAUGAUAUUUAGGCCUUAGGAGCCUAGAAAAAGCUGAAGUAGAAAUAAUUUUAUUUAUUAUUCUGUCGAAUGUCCAAUUUACUUCAAUACAUGAAGUCUUCUUGGCUUUUGCUGUUGAGUAUUAUUAAUACUGCUCCAAUCAGCCCGAAUUCAGGUUUUUUAUGCUCACAAGUAGCAUUAUGAGAAAAACUAAAAGAAAGGUAUUGGUAAAAAAGACAUUGCUUACUCUGAGAUAAAUCUGACAGUGAUAUAUGACAGGAAGAAAUGCAAAUGGCAAAGAAAUAUUAAAAACAUAGUCUAGCGUGAACUUGAAUGUGGAAAAAUGGUGGUGGGGAAGGGAAGUUUCUACUAGGGGACAAGGUCAAAUGGAGGACAUCUUGGUGCAUAUUUAGGGUAGACACUGAAGGGGAGAAAAGGAGCAGAAAUGGUGUACAAAUGGCACCAUUCAAUUUUCCUAUUACCAACCUGGAAAUUAUCAUUAUUCAUAGAGAAAACUAUUCUUCAAAUUAAUCACUUGAUUCUCCUUGUUCUAAUGCAAUCUCAUAUCCUAUUCUAUACCACUAACCCAUCAUAUGCCCAGGCUUCUGCCAGUGUUACCCAGGUGAAUCAUUUAUUCAGCAAAACAGCUAUUUAGGAGGCACCUGUUAAGUACAAGGGCCUGUGCCUGGUGUGUUGAGGAUAUACUAUGUUAUGGCAUAGCCCACUCUCAAGGAGAUUUCAGUUGAGGUGGGAAUGCAUGAUUGUAUGAAGGAUGACGUAGACUCAUAGGCCUGUUAGCAUUAGAACAUUAUUUCAUGUGCUCCUGUUAUUGUAUAGAUGAGAAAACCGAGAUCUAGAAAGAUUCAGUGGCCUUAGAAUCAACUAGUUAAGGAAUGACAGAACGAGGGCUAGAACUUGGUUCUUUUUACUUUUGCUCACUGCUGCUUCUACAACCUCUUUUAAAAAUACAAUACCUUGAUACAAUCUUACAAAGCUAUGGGCCAUUUGUUCCUAAAAAACAACUGUGUGCUGGAGCCAGCUUUCACCAGCUCUUACCAGCAGAUUGUGAGCACCUUUUCAACUGGCCAUGGUAAAAAAAUUUACACCACAGAAAUGGACAAACACCACAAACCUGAGAUCUUCUUCCUUCCAGGGAGAGCCAGUUAUUAAACAUUUACCAGCAUACCACUGCUUAUACAUAACAAAUGUGAUAAGCUCAGACACUCCUUCAUGAAGUGAUCGUCACAUGAAUGCAUUUUAUGGAGAAAUGAACUUUAAGACAGGGAAAGGGGAAAUGACGGAGUCUAUUUGAGACUGGAAUUAUGGAGUGAACAUAAUUCUGGGAUAUCAAAUAGAGAAAUUUGGCGGGGUGGGGUUACAUAGGACAGGAGUCCCUAAAUCACAUGCCUGCAAAGACCAGGCUGAAAAAAUAAAGGUGUAAAUCAGGGUGGAGUUAUGAAUAUUAGGGCAUGAGGAGUCUGUGGUAAAGUGAAAAGUAAAAGCCUCCCUAAAGGUAUUAAAAAAAAAAACAAAACUUCCUGUAUUCUACCCACUUUGAAUUUACCGUAAAGAACUAACAAGGGUAAGCUUAGACAGCAGUUCACAUCAAAUAGGACCCUGAGAAGGGAUUAUCAUUUUCCUUCUUAAAUGAACAUUAGUUUCCUUGACACAGUGAAGGCAACAUUUAGCAUCCUAAUUUAUUUCUCUUUUCUUUCUUACUUCUUCCAUGUUUUCACUGGGAAAUGUCUGUAAAUUAUUGCUUUUUGUUGUGUGUAAAAAGUCGUUCAACCAGCAUUUUCCUUUGUUAGUGUGGGUUAUUUAUAGUUGAGUUUAUGGUACUAUUCUCAGCUUUAUCAUCCUGUUUCAAGGGUAAUGAUACUCCCAAAGAAAUAAAGACUCAGUUUUGUUUCUAAGGAUGUUCAUUCAUAUCUCUAUGUAUCUGAAAAAAAUGUCACUAUGCAAAAUGGAAAGUUCAUAUAUUUUAAGGAAGGAUCUAGAAACACAUUAUUUAAUUGAUUUUUUCUUUCAAAAUGUCCCCAAGUUAAUUUCAAAUAGCCUUUUAAACAUGUUUCUUUUUUACAUUAAUCUGUAAGGAUAACUCCACAUUGAUCAACAGCCAUUUUUAAAAAAUGAGAAUUGCCUUCUGCAGAGAUAUCUUUAUUCUAACAUGUUAAAUCCACAGGGCUUUAUACAAAAUGAAAAAAAUCAAUAAAACGAAUGAUGUGAUUCCUAGUGAAAAGUUGUUCUGUAUAAACAAAAUACUGUAAUUUUUAUCUGAAAAAGUCCUAAAUUCUUAAAAUUCCCUAAUUAUAAUUGCAACUGCAAGAAGCCUAACAACAAAAAAUAUUGCUCUUUGAAAAUGUUCUGCAAGCCCCUCUAAUGACAAUGACUACCAUUGUGUUUGACAAGGAUCCCACUGAUGUUUGCUGCCAGGGGUACAUGUCUCUAGCCUCAAAGAUGGACUUAACUGAGGCAUCCCCUGGGAUGAGCUGGUCAGAAGAAGAGCAAGGGUGGGAUGGACAUGGAUUUUGGCAUUCAGUCGUCAGAAAAUAAGAGACAAUCUAAUCAUCACAAUCUAUUCUACAACUUUAGCCUCCUUAGCACAGAUGGACUAACUGGCAGAGCGUAUUAGAGGGGUUUUUGGGAUGGCCUGCUUGCCCCUGUAACUCUGCUAGAGAUAUAAAUGAAAAAAAAGUAGAUGCUUAAUAAUUGUUUGCUGAAGGAGUCAGGAACUGAGAGGUCAAGUAUUGCAAGUUCUCUCACAAUUUUCAGUCUACUUCAGCCUAGAAUCUGGGCCUCAGCCCGUAGCCACAGGUUUCUCUCUGGCUCUCUGCUGCAGAGGAGGAUGGCACCCAACCAAUUCUGUGCAGAAAGCCAGGAGAGUGCAGAAAAUGUCAUGCUCAUGAGCAAAGUUCUGGGUACAAAGGACUUGUGGAGUCUGGAAAUACCUGAAUUUUCCUUGGAGAGGAAAGAUUAGGCCUGAGAAGUUGUUCAAAAUUGGACCCCUCCUUCCAAAGUGUGUCUGAAAAGUGUGUUUGGGAUAGGCUUGUUAUGUAUGGCCUUUAUCAUGUUGAUGUAUGUUACUUCUAAUCCAGUUUGUUGAGAGUUUUUAUCAUGAAGGGGUGCUGAAUUUUAUUGAAUGCUUUUUCAGCAUCUGUUGAAAUUAUCAUAUGGAUUUUGUCCUUGAUUCUGUUGAUCAUAUAUCAUGUUUAUUGAUUUGCAUGUAUUGAACCAUUACUGCAUGGAUGUGCUUUGAGAAGUGCUGCAUGUUCAACAAUAGCCAGUCAGAUUAAAAGGUGCGCCUAUAGGCCCAGAGCUGCCCAUGUGCCAUGGGAGAAGGACCAAUAGCACUAUGAGCUUCCUGCUAGGGCACACCAAAAUGAAAGUGUUUGGUGUGAGAUGUGUACCACAUCCUCCAAGCCAAAAUUCUGGCUUUCUUCUGGGCUGCCAGCUUUUUCAUUUCACAAAAAUUUCAGCCUUUCACUUCCCUUGCUCAGAUUCUUUUUACCCUGGGAUUUACCCUGAGAUUUUUUAUCCUGUAAAAAAACUACCCUGUAAUUUUUUUUACCCUGAAAUAUUACUCUGUAAUAUUUUUACCCUGGGAUUUACCCUGUCACAAUCCAUAACUUGGUUUUAGCUCCUGUUCUUCUGGUUUCAUUUAGUCCUCAGUGCCCUGAAGCACGUGCCAUCAGUGUCCCCUUUCUCCCUUUCUGUCAUCAUCCAGUGGGCUUUUCCCUGACUUCCAACUCCCAGUAUUUUCAUCUCAGUAUCUCAUUUCUUUUUCAGCAGAAGCACAGAAAACAGCUUUGCCUAUGAUCCAUGAUCAGUGAGCCAGAAGUGCCUGGGAAUUAACAAACCCUGGGAGCAGCUUUCAACAAUGACCUCAGGACAACUCCUGAGAUAUAAAUACCCCAGCUCCCCUGCCUCUUGGAUGCAGUAAUUUGAAGGGGUAUGUUCCCUGGCUCUCAGAGUUUCCUCAGUGAGAUUAAACUCAAGUUGCAUACAAUACUAGUGGGACUGGUAAAGCACCCUUUUUCUUUUUUUGUAUUCCUUCCCUUCUUCUUUACCCUUACACCCAGCAUUUCCUAAAAUUGCUAUUUGCACUCAAAUCCUUGUCUCAGGGUGCUCUGGAACAAUACAAACUCCAGCACAUGUCUAACAUUAGGGGCUCUACCUCUACUCCCUUGCCAUUUCUGUCUUUUUAAAAAACCUCUUGCUGAAUCAUCUAGAUUCUAUUUCUACAAAAGGAUGGGCAAUGGUUUAGAGAUAAAAAAGGAAAUUAUAUAAAUGUCCAAAUAAUUUAUACUUAUGCUAGAUAUUCGGUGCUUUUAAUCAUUAGAAACCAAGGUUGUUGGCUUAGCACAUCAAGUGAAAGAAUUCAGUGAAACCAGGUAGAAAAGGGUACCAAUAUUUUUUUAGGAAUGGUAAUAGCUAAUCAUUUAUUGAACACUAGUGACAAUGUUUAAACUAUGUGUGUGUUACUUAAGUUUAUCUCUAUGUUUAAACUAUGUGUGUGUUACUUAAGUUUAUCUCUACAAUAUUAUUAUAUCUCUAUAAUAUUAUAUAGAUAUAUAUGUAAUAUAAUUAUUAUAUCUCUAUAAUAAACCUAAGAGGUAGAUAUACUUAUUCCAUUUUUACUGAUGAUGAAUAUGAAUGGACCAAAGUAAUUUGCCUUAAAUCAGUCAGCUCAUAAUGGUCAAAAUCCACAUUUAAAGAUCUUACUCAUGUCAAAGUCCAUUCUCUUAAUUAGUCUACAGUCUUCCUUAUAAGUUUUCUUUGAAGUAGAUGGGAGAUAUAUAAUCAGUCCUACUUACUGAUUCUGAAAUGCAAUUGAUCAAAUCAUCAUUCUGAAGGUGUAAGAUUACAGCUUUUCUUUAAAAGGGAUUGAGCUGGCUAUAAAUUGCAGUAUAAAUUCAGAUUUAUUCUGUUUCACCGUUUAAUUCUUGGAAAAGACUACUCAUAAAAAUUCUCUAAUGGCAUUAUUGGUAUUAUGCAUUAAGAGCUAGAAAAAUAGGUCAACAUUUUAGACGUAUUUCUGGUGGCGCAUUUUGCUAUUAGUCUACAAGGAUUAUAGCAGAUCACUAUCUUUAAAUGACAUUGCAACUUGAGGCUCAAAUUCGAUGAUCCUGGGAAAGUUGAAAUUUAGUGCCCUGUUUUGAGGUUAAACUAUGGCUGCAAGUAAUUUCUAGAAAACUGACAUCCUGAUAGACUUGAAAAAUAAAAAAAAAAGAAAGAGGAAACAAAUUAAAAUUGUUCUAUCAGGCUUUGCCAGGGUCUAGAAAUCCUAAUUUAUAAUGAAAUUGGAGGUGAGCUAAGAUAGCAAUAGAAUGAGAAGUUAGGAAAGGGAAGAAAUUGACCAGGAACAGUGAAUAUACUGCUUACAUUAUCUUACAUCAGAAUUCAGGAGUCUCCAACAUUCAUUAACUAAAUUCUCUCUUUUGUGUUUACUCUGAUAGUUUUGUAGUUGUGAUAAUAUUAUAGAUAUAGUCUAGUUGUUGACAUUUGGAGGUAAGAGUAUCUCCAACCUGGGUCAGGUAGCAGUUUAGUAAAGUAUUUUCUCUUCAUUAAGACGAGAGGUGUUACCAAAUGGAAUAAGUAUUUGACUUUUCUGUGUGACCACAUGAUAUAGGUGUUAAAUAGGUUUGUCUUCAGAUGCAAACAUCAGAAAACCUGACUAAAAUCCCUCAGGAUUGAUGGGGUUUACUUUUUCUAAAUAGUGCUAAGUCUGAAGGUAGGUGGCUCUGAGCAUUUAGGGGUUUAGACAUGUGAACUCUCCUUCCUGGUUGCAAGUAGCAAUCCUGGCUUAAUCAAGUUUAUACUCAAGGCAGAAAGAAGAGAGAAUGGAUGACAAAAGCUUCCCCAGAACCCACAUGUGGAGUUUUCCUAUGUCUCAUUAGCCAGAACUGGGUUAUGUUGGCAAGCCCUUGCUGAAGCAGAGACCAGGAAGGUGAAGAUUUAGUUUUUCUGCUCAUACUGUGGAAGGUGAAAGGAAUGGAGGUUAGGGAGGGUAUAGAAUUAGCAAGCCAAGAGUUCCUAUGUAAUGCCAACGUGUAAGUAGGAUCUAUAAAUAUUAAAUCUAAGAAAACAAACUUUAGUAGAACAUACCAAGAAGGACUAACUAAUCAUCACGGCUGCCCAGAACUGCAAUGGGCUCCCCAGUAGGUAAUUCAUUCCCUAUCAGAGCAUAUGUUUAAACACUGGGUGAAUGAGCAUUUGACCGAUUUACUGUGGAGAAGAUUUAAACAUUAGAUAGAUAAGUGGUUGAACUUUAUGUCUUCAAAGUUGUCUUCAAAUCCUCAGGAUUUUAUGAUACUCUGUAAGCAUUCCAAUUGCUUGCAAUUUGAAAAUUGUUUUUUCUUUGUGGUUCGCUUUUCUGUCAUGGCCACUGGCACAAAUCUGCUUUACUUUUAUCUUAACAUUAAUAUCCAACAGUGAGAUAUCUAGUCUCUACAAAGAAAAUGUAUUUAUCUCUGACUGUGUUCUUAUCUUAAAUAAAAACCUUUUACCUCCUUCCAGAAAUAUUGACAGAAUAGAUGCUGAAAGAAUUUUUUUCUAAUGGAUAUGGUUUUUAAUUUGAUGCAUUUUAAACUUUCAAAGGCUUCGUUAAAGCUCACACACAUUGUCUUUUAGAUGCCCAGUAGGAUGUACAUUUCUGUAGCAAUCUCGAAGCACUUCCCCUAUUUUUGUACAAACUUAUGAGAUAAUCCCUAUUUGGAUUUGAGUCUAUGUUCAUGAAAGUCAGAAGUUGUUUAAAGAGAAAAAUCAUGUAAGUAGUGAGUUGAAAUUUUGAACUGGGUAAUACUGAAAGUUUUGAAUUUUUGCCAAAUACAGGCCAAACUAAAAUGUACCCUAAUCCCAGUACUUUAUGUGAAAUAAGAUUGAUUUCUGCUUUGUAUGAGAAAAAGCUAAACCAAAGAUGUUCGAAAAAAUGCUGGAAUUAAUAGUCUACCCAAGAGCAAUGAAUUAUAUUUGCCAAUCCCUGGAAUCAAAUGAGUAUUUAAAAUAUACCUGUAAGUCUCAAGACAGAAAACUUUUAUUAUUAUUAUUUUCCUUUUCACAAAUAGUAUCAGGAAAGACUAAUUAAACAAGGAUGUGGAGAAUACAGAACUAACUUAAAAAGAAAAAUCCCCAACUUUGAUUUUUUAAAAAUAAUCCAAAUUGAAUAAAAGUUGAGAUAUGUUCUUCUCUGGUCAGGCAUUAUUAAAAUAAUUGAUAGCACUCGGUGAUGGUAAGGAUAUAGGAAAACAGGCCUUGUCAUUUAUUUCUGGUGGAAAUGUAAAUUGACUCAAGUGAUUUGGAAGGUAAUUUUUAAAGUAUCUGUAAAAAGCCCUAAAAAUGUAAUGAUCAUUGACUCAGAAAUUUCACCUUUAGCAAUUUAUCCUCAGGAAAUUCUUACAUGAGUUCCAAAAUAUAACCAAAUAAUAUUGCUGUGGUAUUAUUUGUAAUAGUGAAAAAUUGCAUAUAACCUAAAUAAAUCAUCACUGAUACAGUGGUGGUUGAGAAAACUAUGGGACAUUUGUAGAGUGGCAAAUUAUGUGGAUUUAAAAAUAUAAUAAAGCCUGAAGAUGAAAAUAUCUAUAAUAUAUUGAAAAAAGAAAAAUGUAGAAUAUUAUGUAUAGCCCAAUCUCACUUUGAUUUUAAAAAUUGUAUGACUGUAUCCAUCUUAUAAAAAGUUUUGAAGGAUAUAUCAUUAACUGUUUAAUAGUAGUCACAUUUUGGGGCUGGAGUUCAGCAUGAUUUUACAAAACAAUGUCUUAAAAGUUGAACUCAGCCUGAGCAACAUGGCGAAACCACUUCUCUACAAAAAAUACAAAAAUUGCGCCACUGCAUUCCAGCCUGGGCAACACAGGGAGACCUUGUCUCAAAAGAAAAAAAAAAAGAACUCAAUUUGGGAACCAUCUAUCCAGUAAAGGCUCUGUUAAGUGUAUUUCUUUCAUGUUAGGUAUCUUAAAAGUAUUCAUGUGGUCCUAGGAAUAGCAAGUCUUACAGCCAGGAUGUGUUGAGAAGAAAUUGCCUGAGAAAUUAGUAAAAAAGGCAAUUGGAGAUAAAUUUACUUCUAGUUCUGGUCUUUACACAGGCUAUUUAUAAUUUGGGCCACAUCAACUAAAAUUCAGUGCUUCAGUUUGUCUGUCUUGGAAAAUGGGAAGCUUAAAGAUGAACUGAAACUGAGUAAUUCUAAGUGCAUCUGUAUAUGAAUGUCAAGCAAUAUUUAUUUACCUCUUUGUUUCCUUCUUUGUGAGUUUUUUUUUUAAGAUGGGUAUCUUUAAGAUUAAGUUAUUCUAAGCACACUAUCUCUGCAUUGUUAAAUCCAUGGAAUGGUUUCUUCUUAUUAAAUUUCUUCGUAUUUGAAGCUUGUCUUGGAGAAAAAUAAUUUUCUCCUUUUCUGAAUAUCCUGUCACAACUAUAAGGUACACUUCCUUAGGGAAGGGUAGGAAAAUUAUGCAGAACAAUUUUCCUAAUGCAGCUAUUCUCUUGUUGAGUCUUUAUCAACUCCCUUUCUUGCAUGCUCUCUGUCUUUUUGCAGGUUUCUAUUUCCUUUGCCCAAAUGGGAUCAUCUUGGGAUUGUAGGUCCUUUGGACUCAAUGAUAUUUAAUAAAGGUCUUACUGUAUAUUCCAGAUCAGAAGGACAGUUCUUUUCUAUGGUUAAAUUUUUUUUUUAAUAAUUCUUACUAUUCAAUGCAAUGAAUGGAAUAAAUGGCCAUUGAGGGUUGGUUGGUGAACUGAAUUUUGUUGUUAUUGUUUUUUUACACUUGGCUUUUUCAUCUCUCAUUUUUUCCCUUAGUUUCAUUAUGAGAAUUUUCUCUUUUUUUUUUUGUAUACCACAAUUAUAGUGGUCGCUCAUUUUAAAAAUACCUCUCACAUAUGUAGGUGGUUGGUCAUACACCAUACAUUAUAUUACAUAUAUAAUGAAAGCUGAAUUUAAGAAUAGAUCACAAGUACUAGGAUCAAAUCUGCUUUCCAAAUGUCUUAUAUUCUAUUUCAUGAUGCAGUUUUGAAGAAAGUGCUAUGACAUUUGCCAAACACAUCUAUCAAUGCAUGGAAUAUAAUGCAUCACUUGCUGUCUUUUAUGCUCAGUGAAGCUCCAAGCUGAGGUGGUUGCCUCUAGACAAGAACAGCAUUAGAGCAUUUCUGGUUCAGUAUCAUUUGGCAUGAUACAGAGCCAUUAAUGCAGGUGUCUAAAGGGCUUUGAAAGCACUUGGCAGGUCAGUGCCUUUUAAACAUGAUUAAUAGCCAUUAAUUAGUUUUAUUUAAUUUACUAUUAUAUUAUAGUCAAUUCUAGAGGUAAGAUAAUACACAAAUUUUAAAUAACCCAGUAAGAAAGAAUACAUUAGAAUUAAAUAACCAAGACUAACCCAAGUCAUUAAGAAUAAAAAUCUUCAAAAAACUUCUGAAUAUCUAGAUCAAAGUUGUCCAGUAGAAAUAUAAUGCAAGCCACAUUCAUAAU
RNAcentral lists this long non-coding RNA (36316 nucleotides) under Homo sapiens (human). RNAcentral describes it as "non-protein coding lnc-LYPD6-2:14". The record is from RNAcentral. Lineage: Eukaryota; Metazoa; Chordata; Mammalia; Primates; Hominidae.